CCCUUUCCCGGCAGGCCCCGCUCGGGUCCGCGGCGCUCAGGCUCUCAGCAGUCCCGGAGGGGCUGCCAGGCUCGCCCGCUAGCCUGGUCCGGCAAGCUCCACCCCCACCACCGAGGCCACGCCCUCCCAGGCAGUUCGCUGGGUACCUGCCGUCCGCGAACAUACUAAGGCGACCCCCAACAGCCGCCCUCUGACAACCCAUGGACCCGAGACUCCCGCAGCCGCCCCCUUGAGAAGCAACCAGGAAAGGACAUCAAAGGCCACAGACCAGACCCCUCAAGGGUCUGCCGAUAAAGCCUUACAACAGACUACAGAGUCGAGGUGCUGGAAGACGGAGUGUUACCCCUAAACCCAUGACCUACCACCAAGUCUAAUCCCCACCCAGGGCCUCCCUCCCACCACUCUGGUCCCACCGAUCCUAUAGAUCAUCAAUAAAUAAUCCAAUUGUCUGCGUUA
Mesocricetus auratus (golden hamster) is the source of this 456-nucleotide long non-coding RNA. RefSeq lists it as uncharacterized. The record is from RefSeq and is a predicted model, not a curated record. The transcript is spliced from 2 exons. NCBI's taxonomy places the organism in Eukaryota, Metazoa, Chordata, Mammalia, Rodentia, Cricetidae.